RNAcentral lists this ribosomal RNA (134 nucleotides) under uncultured Acinetobacter sp. Its description in RNAcentral is "partial 16S ribosomal RNA". It matches the Rfam family "Bacterial small subunit ribosomal RNA", at positions 379 to 506 of the family's 1533-position model. The record is from RNAcentral. Lineage: Bacteria; Pseudomonadati; Pseudomonadota; Gammaproteobacteria; Moraxellales; Moraxellaceae.
GAGCCUGAUCAGCCUGCCGCGUGUGUGAAGAAGGCCUUAUGGUUGUAAAGCACUUUAAGCGAGGAGGAGGCUACUUUAGUUAAUACCUAGAGAUAGUGGACGUUACUCGCAGAAUAAGCACCGGCUAACUCUGU